GACGAACGCUGGCGGCGUGCUUAACACAUGCAAGUCGAACGGAAAGGCCCCUUUGGGGGUACUCGAGUGGCGAACGGGUGAGUAACACGUGAGUAACCUGCCCUUGACUUCGGGAUAACUUCAGGAAACUGGGGCUAAUACCGGAUAGGAAUCCUUGCUGCAUGGUGGGGGUUGGAAAGCUUCGGCGGUUUUGGAUGGACUCGCGGCUUAUCAGCUUGUUGGUGGGGUAGUGGCUUACCAAGGCUUUGACGGGUAGCCGGCCUGAGAGGGCGACCGGCCACAUUGGGACUGAGAUACGGCCCAGACUCCGACGGGAGGCAGCAGUGGGGAAUAUUGCACAAUGGGCGGAAGCCGGAUGCAGCAACGCCGCGUGCGGGAUGACGGCCUUCGGGUUGUAAACCGCUUUCAGCAGGGGCGAAGCUUGUGGUGACGGUACCUGCAGAAGAAGCACCGGCUAACUACGUG
RNAcentral lists this ribosomal RNA (465 nucleotides) under uncultured bacterium. Its description in RNAcentral is "partial 16S ribosomal RNA". It matches the Rfam family "Bacterial small subunit ribosomal RNA", at positions 28 to 507 of the family's 1533-position model. The record is from RNAcentral.